GCGGGUUUAGCUCAGUUGGGAGAGCGUCAGACUGAAGUCCCACUUCACUCAAACCUGAAACAAGGUAAUCUGAAGGUCGUGUGUUCGAUCCACACAAACCGCA
Non-coding RNA from Cladorrhinum sp. PSN332, 103 nucleotides. The record is from the annotation of a GenBank genome assembly. NCBI's taxonomy places the organism in Eukaryota, Fungi, Ascomycota, Sordariomycetes, Sordariales, Podosporaceae.